GGAAAAUGCCAUUUCCCAUGGCUUCAAGUCCCUCCUCAGAAUCUUACUGUGCCCCUGUUUCAAAACCAACGGCAAAGAAAGCCAAACUCCAAAGCAGGGCUCUCUUUUGGUGAGCUCCCACCAGCUCUUUAAUCACGUUUAAUUUAAUUAAAUUUGGGACUCUGAUUCCUCAUCUCUCCCUCUUUGUCUGGACCCAAGAGUUGAGACCAGUGUUGAAGGCAGCAUGUUGUGAAAAUCUCUGUGCAUUAUUGAACACUCAGCUGGAACCAUUUCCCUCUGCACGUGUUCAUGUUAUAGCUUGAGUCCAUGAGGAAGUUGAUGUGGCAUUUCACUAGCAGUAAAGGUCCCACGCAUUCCUUCCCUCUCUGGCCAAAGAAAACUUGAAGCAGUGGGACCUCAGUGCAAAGGAACAUGAUGUGAUGCAAGAACUGACUCAGGAAACGCUGGUGGACUUCAUGCCCCCCGUACCUGGCCAAUGACCUGGAAGAGGAAAACCAGCUUAUCCAACUAGACGUCUUCUUCUUCUUCUAUGGGAGGAAGUUUGCCAAGGUUCCUUAGUUCUGCAAGCAAUUCAGCAUGCACGGAGACACUAGGAGGUUCCUGGCAGAGUGUGAGCAGGUGGGCAGCCCACUGCAGUGGGGGUGUGAGAUAUCUCCCAACUUGUGGGAAAUAAGGGCCCAGAGGUCUGGUUGACAGCCGUGGCCGAGGAAUGAGUCUAAGCAGACUUGGACUUGUUAUGUCCUCGGUAGACCGAGUGAGUCUCCCCGCCCUGGUUGCCCCUCUCUGCCCCUUCCUUGGUGCCUCCCCUUGGUGAUCACACCCCCUUUGCCACGCCCCUAGCCUGCUCUAUAAAAUGCCUGGUACUUCCGCAAUAAAACAGAUCUGCGCCAUCAGCCUGGUCUCCCGUGUCUUCUCUUCACCACGCUGCCGCUUGCCUCGGGCCCAGAACCAACUGUAUAAUCCUGAACUCUGGAUGUCUCAGUGAGAUCCCACCCUUGCAUUCCAGGGACCCUGGGAUCCUGAGCACCUGAGGGCAGGGCAGAUGAGCAUUUUAAGCCUGAUGACCCAGCUGCCAGUAAUGGCAGCCAUGGGGGGAAGUAGAGGAAUUUCCUGUCCAGACCAUGGAGAAGAAUGCAUACUCUUCCAGAAGGAGCCAAUGGACUCGUCAGCCAGACUGUUGGGGCUGGGAACCCACAGAGGGACAAUAGAGAAGCUGUUUCCCUGGUGCCAUCAUCCUGAGCCACGUUUCAAUUGUACAUGCUCACUAUGAAUAUCAGCUGGAGGAUUCAUCAUGUGUUUCUGAAAAAUUAUGUAGCUUCUGCAGAGUGAGAUAAUUUCAAGGUGACUUGCAUGGGCUCAGAAUGGGAGGGAACUGAAAAUAACUGAAAAUAUUACCUUAGAGCCGUAAGGUUGUCAAGAUUGCUUUAGGGUACGUUGUAAAUUUCACGGGCUGGUUUUCAGCCUACAGAGCAUAGUAUUGUUACUAUACUUCUUUGAAACAUCAUGAGUCACCACUUCUUGGCCUUUUCACUAAGAUCAAGUGUAGUAUCUGUUCUUCUCAGUUUAAUAUAUGAUAUGCCUUCUAUCCAAGGACAAAAUAUUAAGUGGAUUUUUGAGAUAUGUUAAUUAGUUUCAUUUAUACUAGUAGUUUAUCUUAGUUUAUGCAAAAGAAAGAUUGUGUUAUUAUCUGUUUCUUUUUUGUAAGAAUAUUUUUGGGUUAUGUCUCUUACUCUGAGCAUUUAGAAGAUAGUGAGUGACAGUGGAAUAACUCUUGUUAUACGAUUAUUCAGUUAUGAAAUUUUGUGGUUUUCUUCUAAAAAAUAAAAAAGAAUAUGCUAUUCUCACAAAGUUUUCUAUUUAAUAUUUCAACUAUUUUGUGUGAACAAAUACAUUCCUAUUUAAGGGAGAUUUUUUAUCUUUCUAUCUAUUGUACUGAUAUAUGCUUUAUCCUUUAGCUAUGGGUUAGUACCCCCAAUUCUUGUAAAUAAAUAUUCUUAUUGUA
Long non-coding RNA from Chinchilla lanigera (long-tailed chinchilla), 2002 nucleotides. RefSeq lists it as uncharacterized. The transcript is spliced from 4 exons. The record is from RefSeq and is a predicted model, not a curated record. Lineage: Eukaryota; Metazoa; Chordata; Mammalia; Rodentia; Chinchillidae.